MicroRNA precursor from Sinocyclocheilus anshuiensis, 80 nucleotides. Lineage: Eukaryota; Metazoa; Chordata; Actinopteri; Cypriniformes; Cyprinidae. The record is from Ensembl.
UGUUCUGUGUAUGGCACUGGUAGAAUUCACUGUGAAAGCACACUAUCAGUGAAUUACCAAAGGGCCAUAAACAGAGCAGA